This is a non-coding RNA of Equus caballus (horse), 3232 nucleotides long. The record is from RefSeq and is a predicted model, not a curated record. NCBI's taxonomy places the organism in Eukaryota, Metazoa, Chordata, Mammalia, Perissodactyla, Equidae.
GCAAAAAUUAUUUCUUUUCAUAAGUUUCAUUUAACUGCAAGGAAACAUUUGCAGGUCUUUCUGCCACUCUCUUCACCCGCUUAUUUUUAUUGACCAAGAUCAAGUCACAAGCAUUUCCCUACAUGGAUCACUGGCCAAGGGAUGGGAUUGCCAUUAUCCUUAGACAGAGUCCCUGGGGGUGGGAGAUGGUUACAUUUUUUAAAAAUCGGUGUUCCACCAGUGAGUAAGAGCCAGGGAUGGACAGGGCGAUGGAUAGGCAACCUAUUACCAAAGAGCCAUCCUAAAGUGGGAUGAGAGUUGUCCUAGAAGGUUCCAGGCAUUUCUUUCAACAGUACAGUCAUCAAGUCUCCCAUUAAGUUUUGAGGCAAGCUCAGAAGGUGAUGAAGCUGGAGUAGGCACCAGAGCACCCAGAACAACCGGAAGGAACACACUUUUACAGCUAGUUCCUGAUUCCACACCACGGUGGGUGAUGGGUCCAGCUUCCCAUGCAGGCCUUGGGAACUCAGAACUAGGAGGAGAGCAAGGGAAAGAGGCUGCCAUAACAGAAAGCCGGGAAUGAACUUCCUCCAGGGGCCUGCAGGGCUGUCCUUGUAAAGGAUCCUGUCUUCGGUUUAAAGAACUCAGUGUGCCCACGUACAAUUACAUAUGCAACAUUUGUGAACAACAUAUUCUCAAACCCAAGUCCACGCAUCUGAGGUCAGCAAUGCCAGCUAACCCUCACACAGGGCCUCCCACCUGCCAGGCACUGCGCGAAGCUCUUCAACUGUAUCAGCUCAUUUAAUCCUUCAACAACUGUAUUACAAGUUCUAGCGACUGGAAGUCAAGGAUGAAGGCGCCAGCAGCACCUUGGGUUGAUGUCUGGUAAGACUUCUCCUCUUGGGUGGCAGACAGCUACCUUCUCGCUCUGUGCUCACAUGGCCUUUCCUCUGUGCUUGUGCAGAAAGAGAAAAUGAGCGAGCUCUCUGGUGUCUCUUCUUCUAAGGACAAUAAUCCGUUUGGAUCAGAGCCCCAGCCUUAGGACCUCAUUUAAUCGUAAUUACCUCCUUAGAGGCCCUGUGUCUAAAUAGAGCCACACUGGAGGUUAGGACUUCAACAUAUGCACUUUAGGGGGGACACAAACAUUCACUCUAUAACCAUGGGUAAUCCUGUUCUCUCUAUUUUUCAGAUUAGGAAACUGAGGUCCACACAGGUUGAGUAAUUUGCCCAAGGUCACAGAGCUAGCAAAUGGCAACUCCAGCAUCAAGUUCUCAACCACUAUGCUGUGCUAUUUCUCACCACCUAGCAUGAGUCUUAAUAUAACAUCUAACAACCAACAACCCUAACCCCUAGCAGAACUUUAAACCUAUCUUAUAAUUAUCAGAGCUUUGCCGUGCCCUUUCUUUUUUUAAGUUUCCCUACAGGGAAACAAUCCCUCACUAUUACUAUUCUUUUAUUAGAAAUAGUUUCUAUAUUAUCAGUUUUAGAGAAAUAACGUGUAGUUACUACAAUCUGGCUCUUAAAACGCUUAUAUAUCUUAGUUAAACAUCUAGUGAAAACUUCUUCUAAUUUUCUAUAUUUAUACCCUACUGGUUACAAAUAUAAUCAGUAGUAAUAUUUCAAAGUCUUGUGAAAGAUGACCUGAGUGGAGCCAUAUCAAAAUAGAGCCAGAGCAGCCAUUACAGAGGAGUUGCCUUGCACAUCUUGUUUUCUUUAUCUUCCAAACUGGUCCAAACUGCCAAUAUUCCGAGAAGUCAGUAAGGACAAGAAUAUCCUUUCUGUAAGAACCGAUGCAACUGGACUUUGCUGAUGAUCAAAUCGCUAACCAACCAAUGAAGGACAAGUCCAGCCUUUUCUCUGAUGACCGAAUCUCAAGGCAAUCUAUGAAGUACAACCUAACCUUGCCUCAUCUGGCACCAAUGAACUCUUCUUUAAUACGACUCACUUCACCCUCCCUUUUUCCAUAAAAAUCCUAAGCCCCUCUCCUGUAAUUGGGAUGCUAUUUGGGUUUCUACCUGAAUCUGUGCCUCAUGAAUUGCAGUUCUUUGAUCCCAAAUAAACACUUUGCCUCUUAAACUGGUUUCUGUUUUUGUAGGUUGAUAGGCUCUAUUACUUUUUAAGGAUUUAAAGCUUUUUAACCCAAAUUUCUAUUAAGAAAACUGGAGCAUCAUAAUUUUGUGAGACUACUCUUAGAAUUCUUACUGGUCAAUGAAGAAAUUAUUUUACACCAACUUACAGGCUUUGCCAUGUUCAAAUCAAAUGUGUACUGAGGGAAUCUGAUUACACGAUUGGCAGCAAUUCUAGGAUUUUUAAUGGAAUUGGGGUGGAGGGAGGAGGAGGGGGAGGGACAAUGCAUUGGACAAGAGCAAAGAUUCUGGAAUUUGGCUCUCCCGGUCUGAAUCCUGACUCUACGGUGUCCUUGAGCAAGUCACUCAACCUCUCUAAGUUUCAGUUUCCUCAUUAGUAAAAUGAAGCUAGGAGUAGAUUUUCCCUUAUGUGAAGAUUAAGUCAGAGAAUCCAUAACUGUAAAUUAAAUAGUGCCAGGCUCACUAAAAAGUCAAUUUGUUUCCUGCUUUAUUGAGAUGUAAUUGAUGUAUAGCAUUGUAUAAGUUUAAAGUGUACAACAUAAUGAUUUGAGAUAUAUAUACAUAUAUAUAUAAUGAAAUGGUUACCACAAGGUUAGUUAACAUAUCCAUCACCUCACAUGGUUACAAUUUUGCAUGUAUGUGAUAAGAACUUUCAAAAUCUACUCUCUUAGCAACUUUCAAAUAUACAAUACAGUAUUGUUAACUAUAGCCAGCCCUGGUGGUCUAGUGGCCAAGAUUCGGAGCUCUCACCGCCAUGGCCCAGUUCCUUUCCACCUGGGUUUGUUUACUGGUCCGGGAACCAUACCACCUGUCUAUCGGUUGUCGUACUGUGGCAGCUGUGUGUUGCUGCAAGCUAUGCCACCAAUAUUUCAAAUAUCAGCAGGGUCACCCACGGUGGACACUUGAGCUUGCAGACUAAGACCGACUAGGAAGAAGGACCUGGUCACUCACUUCUGAAAAAAUUGACCGUUAAAACCCUAUGAAUAGCAAUGGGGCAUCAUCUGAUAUAACACCGGAGGUGAGAGGAUGGUGCAGAAAGACUGGACAGGUUUCUGCUCCGCUGUCCACAGACUCGCUAGAGUCAGAAUUGACUCGACAGCACCAACAACCCAAUAUACUCUUAACUAUAGUCACCACGCUGUCGUUUCCUCCCCAGAACUUAUUUAUCU